UUUGUAUGAACUUUUUAAAUGAGUUGAUAUCCAUAUUUAUCAUUUAAAAUAUGAGUGAUUAAACUCAAUAAAUAUGGAUAAAAUGGACUCCUUUUACUAAUAUGGGCUAAAAUUAUCACCUCUGGUUAAUUGUGACCAUUGAAGAUGGCAAGAAGCUUUAAGGCUCUCUCGCCAUGAAUAUCCUCUUUUUCUUUUUAUUAAUCAAAUCUUGAUUUGUGGUUUGAGGGCGAUGUAAUGGGCUUAGUGGCUAUUGGUUUUGUGACAAAGAAACUUACCUGAUUUUGUGUCAAAUGAUUCUACCUGUGUAGGCAUUGAUGCUUGAGCCUUACAAUUGAGGUUUUUUCCAUUUUGGUGGUAGCUUUCUUUUUGGGAAGAUUACCACGUUCCAUGUUUUUCUGGUAGGAUCUCUACUGUAUUAGGGUUUGAAAAAGGGUUUGUUGUUUCUAUUUAUGAUGGGCGUUGGAUAGCUUUGCAUUAUUUAAAGGUAUAGUCAAUCCACUCACAACCUGAACGCAGGAUUCCAUCUCUUUCGCAAACCUCCUUUGGAGUAUGAUUUCUAAUAGUGAUUGAUUUCUUAGCAGAUACUGAUGACCAUUCUCAGGCUCGUGGCUUUAUAGUGCAGAUUCUUGCUCUAGCAAUUAGUGAAUCCUCUUCAUUCAGGGACGUGGUUUAGUUGUUUCUUCUUCUUGUUUUAGACUUGAUUUUUUUAUGUGUAGUUGGUCCCGUCAAACUUGUUUUAUUCGGUAGUAGAGGCUUAACAUACAUUAGUAUUGUAGUUUACGUUAGCCCUUUGGGCUUUCAGUAUUUUGUUUGAUAAGAUUCAUUUCAUAUUUUGGACUUA
Molecule: long non-coding RNA, 841 nt
Organism: Capsicum annuum
Lineage: Eukaryota; Viridiplantae; Streptophyta; Magnoliopsida; Solanales; Solanaceae
Exons: 2
Source: RefSeq, a predicted model, not a curated record